RNAcentral lists this long non-coding RNA (521 nucleotides) under Helianthus annuus (common sunflower). Its description in RNAcentral is "hypothetical non coding rna". The record is from RNAcentral. Lineage: Eukaryota; Viridiplantae; Streptophyta; Magnoliopsida; Asterales; Asteraceae.
AUGUUGUGUUCGGGACUGUGUCGGAAGGGCUGCCCAAGUCAAUUCUAUCAAGAUGGAUUAUGGACAGUGGAGCAUCACGACAUAUGACUGGGUCUUUAGCUCUUCUUUAUGAUGUUAAGUCAAUCAAUGGAAGCUAUGUUGGGUUCGCAGGGAAUCAAGGAGGAAGAAUUGUCGGCCAAGGAACGCUUACAAACGGAGUGAUCUCAUUUGACAAAGUGAACUACAUCGUAGAGUUAACGAACAACUUACUAAGUAUAUCACAGAUUUGUGAUAAAGAUUUUAGUGUGCAUUUUACUAUAUCUGAAUGUAUAGUGUUGAAACCAGGAUUUAAAAUCCCUGAUGAGUUGGUGUUGUUGCGCGCUCUGCGGGUAAAUGAUCUUUAUAUUUUGGAUCUGAGUGCCGCAACGCCAACAACUCAUCAAAAACAGUGUUUUGUCACCAAGUCUAAAGCUACUGAAAAGGAGUCUGUAAUGUGGCACCGAAAAAUGGGUCACAUUCACGUGCGAAAAAUGAAUUUUUUG